AUUAAAGUUGUUGCGGUUAAAAAGCUCGUAGUCGAAUUUGUGUCCCGCGCCGCCGGUUCAUCGUACGCGGUGUUAACUGGCGUGCCGCGGGACGUCCUGCCGGUGGGCCUAACUCCGCAAGGACGUCGGCCCGACCCAAUCCCGCCGCGGUGCUCUUCAUUGAGUGUCGAGGUGGGCCGGCACGUUUACUUUGAACAAAUUAGAGUGCUUAAAGCAGGCUAAAACUUCGCCUGAAUACUGUGUGCAUGGAAUAAUGGAAUAGGACCUCGGUUCUAUUUUGUUGGUUUUCGGAACCCCGAGGUAAUGAUUAAUAGGAACGGAUGGGGGCAUUCGUAUUGCGACGUUAGAGGUGAAAUUCUUGGAUCGUCGCAAGACGGACAGAAGCGAAAGCAUU
RNAcentral lists this ribosomal RNA (394 nucleotides) under Cephaloleia dorsalis. Its description in RNAcentral is "SSU rRNA". It matches the Rfam family "Eukaryotic small subunit ribosomal RNA", at positions 603 to 955 of the family's 1831-position model. The record is from RNAcentral. Lineage: Eukaryota; Metazoa; Arthropoda; Insecta; Coleoptera; Chrysomelidae.